This 333-nucleotide non-coding RNA is filed under the name Pongo abelii (Sumatran orangutan). The record is from RNAcentral. Lineage: Eukaryota; Metazoa; Chordata; Mammalia; Primates; Hominidae.
AGGACCACGCUUCUCAACACUUGAUGUGCAUAGGAAGCACCCUAGUGACCUUGUCAGUUGUGAUUGGGUAGGUCUAGGAUGAGGCCUGGGCACCUGCAUUUUUAACAGUGAUGUCUUGCUGUGAACAGAAUAGGUUCUAAUCUUCCCAAAUUUGGCACCAUCCUGGAGAGAGGCUCUGCAGAAAUGAAAGUUACAUUUAACAUCAUAGUAAAGCUUAAUCCCUGUUAUUUUAGAUAAAGCUUAAUCCCCAUUAUUCUUCAAUGAUGUUGAACAGAAUUUCAUUUCAUUGGAUAUCUCAGGACAUCGUGGACAGUGAUAUCCAUGGAAAGCAAG